Molecule: non-coding RNA, 140 nt
Organism: Microtus ochrogaster (prairie vole)
Lineage: Eukaryota; Metazoa; Chordata; Mammalia; Rodentia; Cricetidae
Product: small Cajal body-specific RNA 3B
Source: Ensembl
AAUGGAAGCUGCAAAACCAAGCAUGUAGACAAAGGAGAAAAUGUCUUUUGUCUGCAGAAAGCAGCGGUCCUACAUGAACAUGGAGGUCUCUGUCUGACUUAGAAGAGCUGGCUAAGUCUGAUCGUUCACCUCCAUACAGC